Molecule: non-coding RNA, 72 nt
Organism: Danionella cerebrum
Lineage: Eukaryota; Metazoa; Chordata; Actinopteri; Cypriniformes; Danionidae
Source: the annotation of a GenBank genome assembly
GGCUUGCUGGUCUAGGGGUAUUUUUCUCGCUCUGGGUGCGAGAGGUCCUGGCUUCAAAUCCCUGACUCGCAG